RNAcentral lists this ribosomal RNA (253 nucleotides) under uncultured bacterium. RNAcentral's name for it is "partial 16S ribosomal RNA". It matches the Rfam family "Bacterial small subunit ribosomal RNA", at positions 524 to 776 of the family's 1533-position model. The record is from RNAcentral.
UACGUAGGGCGCAAGCGUUGUCCGGAAUUAUUGGGCGUAAAGAGCUCGUAGGUGGCUUGUCGCGUCUGCCGUGAAAGCCCGUGGCUUAACUACGGGUCUGCGGUGGAUACGGGCAGGCUAGAGGUUGGUAGGGGCAAGCGGAAUUCCUGGUGUAGCGGUGAAAUGCGCAGAUAUCAGGAGGAACACCGGUGGCGAAGGCGGCUUGCUGGGCCAGUUCUGACGCUGAGGAGCGAAAGCGUGGGGAGCAAACAGG